AACGAACGCUGGCGGCAUGCCUAACACAUGCAAGUCGAACGAAGGCUUCGGCCUUAGUGGCGCACGGGUGCGUAACGCGUGGGAAUCUGCCCUUUGGUUCGGAAUAACAGCUGGAAACGGCUGCUAAUACCGGAUGAUGACGAGAGUCCAAAGAUUUAUCGCCAGAGGAUGAGCCCGCGUUGGAUUAGGUAGUUGGUGGGGUAAAGGCCUACCAAGCCGACGAUCCAUAGCUGGUCUGAGAGGAUGAUCAGCCACACUGGGACUGAGACACGGCCCAGACUCCUACGGGAGGCAGCAGUGGGGAAUAUUGGACAAUGGGCGCAAGCCUGAUCCAGCAAUGCCGCGUGAGUGAUGAAGGCCCUAGGGUUGUAAAGCUCUUUUACCCGGGAAGAUAAUGACUGUACCGGGAGAAUAAGCCCCGGCUAACUCCGU
RNAcentral lists this ribosomal RNA (432 nucleotides) under uncultured bacterium. RNAcentral's name for it is "partial 16S ribosomal RNA". It matches the Rfam family "Bacterial small subunit ribosomal RNA", at positions 29 to 506 of the family's 1533-position model. The record is from RNAcentral.